CGCAUCCCCAGAGCCCUCCCCACCUCCUCCCAGAACCGGCGACUUCGCCUCCCGCCGUGGCCCCCUCUCUUCCCCUCCCCUCGUCGCAGAUCGAGCGACAACCGCGGUGUGGGCGGGCGGCGUCAACGCGCUGCUCCUGCUCAGCCACCCGGGCCCGUCCAUCGCCUGCUCGCCUCCCGCAGCGUCUUCUCCGAUCACGCAACCGACGGUGGCCGCGGCUCCACAAGGCCGUGCGCGACCCAACCAGCGCCAAGCCCUUCGCGCGCGCCCACGCCGGCGUCCCCGCCUAAACCUACUACACCCAGGACCGGGAGGCGAACAGGUGAUGCUCGACGACGAACAUCUGCUCGAGGACACCCUGCUCGACGGUGCUCCUCUUCGCUAGCAUCUCCAUUGCAUGAUAGGGGGAGAGUUCUUGUACUCAGAGCAGCUGUUGAUCUGCAGCAACUCUUGAAGUAUGAUUUAGGAUAAUCAUAGUUUCAGUUUGCCAAGCAGGGAGUAUAAUUUAACUGGAAAGCAACCAACUAUUGCUUUGAACUGGAGUAUAAUUACCAAAGCGGGUCGAAGUGGGACGAUGUGGUUCGGUGGUCAACGGUGGCUGCGCGGGAUGCAGUAUGGUAUGGCUUGAGCAUCUCGAGGAGGGGCUCUCUCCGCAAGGCAUCCUCUACGCCAGUACGUUCUCUGAUCUGAACCUUCUUCUCUUCGCUCAUGCAUGCACCAACGCAGCUGACCUGUCGUUGACCAGCGGCGGAGGUGUUCGAGUAGUCUGUCCCGGGGCUGCGCGUGGAGCACGUUGACGUCUCCGUCUUGCCAUUGGUCAGCACCGCCCUGCCGGCUGGGGUUCUUAUUUGCCAUCGAGGCCUUCCGCAACUGGGACCAUGGUGCCUGAUAGCUUCCUCUCCGGCUGGAUCGGCAGUCUAUCCACCCAGUUUCUAUGGCGUAGCAUCAGAUUAAUAUUGCCAAGCCUGAGCUGGCGGUUCAUAUGGAAGAUCCCAUGGGCCAGCAGCUGGAGCCUGGAAGCAGAUGUUAAUGCUCCAUAGCAGAGAGUUUAGGUAUACAGCAUGCAGUGACUACCAAAUUUUCCAUGUAGGAUAUAAACGGAAAUUGUAAUGGAGAUGGUUGCCAUCAGUUCCAUUUUGUUGCACAUCACAAGCCUUGCACUCAGAUCGUCGCUGUGGCCAGAUCCGGCCGGGGGAGCCGCCAUAGAGCCGACACCUCGGCGGCGCAGCAGCAGCCCGACAGAAGGUGGGUGCUCGAGCUCAUCCAGCAGCUUGUCAUCGACCAGGAGGCCUCUACCUCGACUGCAACCGUCCGUGGUUCUCUAUUGCAAGCACCUUGUAUCUACUGAUGUUCUUCCGCCCAUCUAAAUUCCACAUGUUUUUUUGACGGGAUCUAAAUUCCACAUGUUGUUA
Molecule: long non-coding RNA, 1412 nt
Organism: Triticum aestivum (bread wheat)
Lineage: Eukaryota; Viridiplantae; Streptophyta; Magnoliopsida; Poales; Poaceae
Exons: 4
Source: RefSeq, a predicted model, not a curated record